UACGUAGGGGGCAAGCGUUGUCCGGAAUCAUUGGGCGUAAAGAGCGCGUAGGCGGUCCGGUAAGUCCGCUCUGAAAGUCCGGGGCUCAACCCCGGGAGGCGGGCGGAUACUGUCGAGCUAGAGUCCGGAAGAGGCGAGUGGAAUUCCUGGUGUAGCGGUGAAAUGCGCAGAUAUCAGGAGGAACACCAAUGGCGAAGGCAGCUCGCUGGGACGGUACUGACGCUGAGGCGCGAAAGCGUGGGGAGCAAACAGG
RNAcentral lists this ribosomal RNA (253 nucleotides) under uncultured bacterium. Its description in RNAcentral is "partial 16S ribosomal RNA". It matches the Rfam family "Bacterial small subunit ribosomal RNA", at positions 524 to 776 of the family's 1533-position model. The record is from RNAcentral.